RNAcentral lists this microRNA (19 nucleotides) under Ornithorhynchus anatinus (platypus). RNAcentral's name for it is "oan-miR-1343-3p". Lineage: Eukaryota; Metazoa; Chordata; Mammalia; Monotremata; Ornithorhynchidae. The record is from miRBase by way of RNAcentral.
GGGCUGGGAGACGAUCCCU